This 806-nucleotide ribosomal RNA is filed under the name uncultured Actinomycetes bacterium. RNAcentral describes it as "bacterial SSU rRNA". It matches the Rfam family "Bacterial small subunit ribosomal RNA", at positions 76 to 896 of the family's 1533-position model. Lineage: Bacteria; Bacillati; Actinomycetota; Actinomycetes. The record is from RNAcentral.
AGCUUUGCUGCGGGUACUCGAGUGGCGAACGGGUGAGUAACACGUGGGUGAUCUGCCUUGCACUUCGGGAUAAGCUUGGGAAACUGGGUCUAAUACCGGAUAGGACAGCUGUUUAGUGUCAGUUGUGGAAAGUUUUUUCGGUGCAAGAUGAGCUUGCGGCCUAUCAGCUUGUUGGUGGGGUAAUGGCCUACCAAGGCGUCGACGGGUAGCCGGCCUGAGAGGGUGUACGGCCACAUUGGGACUGAGAUACGGCCCAGACUCCUACGGGAGGCAGCAGUGGGGAAUAUUGCACAAUGGGCGGAAGCCUGAUGCAGCGACGCCGCGUGGGGGAUGAAGGCCUUCGGGUUGUAAACUCCUUUCGACAGGGACGAAGCGUAAGUGACGGUACCUGUAUAAGAAGCACCGGCUAACUACGUGCCAGCAGCCGCGGUAAUACGUAGGGUGCGAGCGUUGUCCGGAAUUACUGGGCGUAAAGAGCUCGUAGGUGGUUUGUCGCGUCGUCUGUGAAAUUCCGGGGCUUAACUCCGGGCGUGCAGGCGAUACGGGCUGACUUGAGUGCUGUAGGGGAGACUGGAAUUCCUGGUGUAGCGGUGAAAUGCGCAGAUAUCAGGAGGAACACCGAUGGCGAAGGCAGGUCUCUGGGCAGUAACUGACGCUGAGGAGCGAAAGCAUGGGUAGCGAACAGGAUUAGAUACCCUGGUAGUCCAUGCCGUAAACGAUGGGUACUAGGUGUCGGAGGUUUCAAGACCGUCGGUGCCGCAGUUAACACAAUAAGUACCCCGCCUGGGGAGUACGUCGCAAGACUG